This 432-nucleotide ribosomal RNA is filed under the name uncultured bacterium. RNAcentral describes it as "partial 16S ribosomal RNA". It matches the Rfam family "Bacterial small subunit ribosomal RNA", at positions 29 to 507 of the family's 1533-position model. The record is from RNAcentral.
ACGCACGCUGGCGGCAUGCCUAACACCUGCCAGUCGAACGAGACCUUCGGGUCUAGUGGCGCACGGGUGCGUCACGCGUGGGAACCUGCCCCUAGGUUCGGAAUAACUCCCCGAAAGGGGUGCUAAUACCGGAUAAUGUCUUCGGACCAAAGAUUUAUCGCCUUUGGAUGGGCCCGCGUUGGAUUAGCUAGUUGGUAGGGUAAAAGCCUACCAAGGCGACGAUCCAUAGCUGGUCUGAGAGGAUGAUCAGCCACACUGGGACUGAGACACGGCCCAGACUCCUACGGGAGGCAGCAGUGGGGAAUAUUGGACAAUGGGCGAAAGCCUGAUCCAGCAAUGCCGCGUGAGUGAUGAAGGCCUUAGGGUUGUAAAGCUCUUUUACCCGGGAUGAUAAUGACAGUACCGGGAGAAUAAGCUCCGGCUAACUCCGUG